Molecule: ribosomal RNA, 492 nt
Filed under: uncultured bacterium
Lineage: Bacteria
Description: partial 16S ribosomal RNA
Rfam family: Bacterial small subunit ribosomal RNA
Source: RNAcentral
AGUGAACGCUGGCGGUAGGCCUAACACAUGCAAGUCGAACGGCAGCACAGUAAGAGCUUGCUCUUACGGGUGGCGAGUGGCGGACGGGUGAGGAAUACAUCGGAAUCUACUUUUUCGUGGGGGAUAACGUAGGGAAACUUACGCUAAUACCGCAUACGACCUACGGGUGAAAGCAGGGGAUCUUCGGACCUUGCGCGAUUGAAUGAGCCGAUGUCGGAUUAGCUAGUUGGCGGGGUAAAGGCCCACCAAGGCGACGAUCCGUAGCUGGUCUGAGAGGAUGAUCAGACACACUGGAACUGAGACACGGUCCAGACUCCUACGGGAGGCAGCAGUGGGGAAUAUUGGACAAUGGGAGCAAGCCUGAUCCAGCCAUACCGCGUGGGUGAAGAAGGCCUUCGGGUUGUAAAGCCCUUUUGUUGGGAAAGAAAAGCAGCAGGUUAAUACCCCGCUGUUCUGACGGUACCCAAAGAAUAAGCACCGGCUAACUUCGUG